AAGAGUGUGCAAAGCUGUCAUCAAGGCAAAGGGUGGCUACUUUGAAGAAUCUGAAAUAUAACAAAUAUUUUGAUUUGUUUAACACUUUAUUUCCAUAUGUGUUAUUUCAUAGUGUUGGUGUCUUCACUAUUAUUCUACAAAGUAGAAAAUAGUAAAAAUAAAGAAAAACCCUUAAAUGAGUAGGUGUGUCCAAACUUUUGACUGGUACUGUAUAUUCCGCUCUAUUCACUCUCCGAUUCGAAAAUGCUAAUUAGCAUCAACAUAGACAUCAUAUAAGACUACAAAUCCCAACAAGGUCCUGCACAUCAUCUCUGGUGUCAUCGCUGACACCUUUUGCUAACAGGUAUUGUGUCAAUUUAAAAGUUGCACAAGACAGAUUCCAGAAUUGUACAUUUAAAAAGAUUCUGCCAAUUCAUUCAUUACUCUAUUUAGCUAACAUUAGACACGUAAUCCAGAGAUUUGGGGCAGCAGGUAGGCUAGUGGUUAGAGCGUUGGGCCAGUAAACAAAAUGUUGCUGGUUUGAAUCCUCGAGCUGACAAGGUAAAAAAUGUAAUUCUGCCCCUGAACGAGUAAAAAUGUGUUCUUAACUGACUUGCUUAGUUAAAUAAAGGUUACAUUUAAUUUUUGUAUUUUUUAUUAUUACCUUUUCCCUCAUGGCAUUUGUAGUUCUUUAUGAUAGCCACAUUAGCAGCUAAUUAGCAUCACAUUUUGGGGGGGUAAAUACAGGUGAAUAUAUUGAUAAAAGUCACCUUGUCCUCGAGAUUUACAUGGUUAUCAAAACAUCACAUCAGGGUAAGCCUACAUGAAACACAGCCCUUAUUUUAAGUGUUUCCAAAAUCCCCUAUGGGAAAAAUGUAUGGUGUAAAAACGAUUGGAACCAUUUCCCUGUCUGACUGCUAAGUUUUAUGUGUAUUAUGACUCAUACUGUGUUAACUCUAUGGAGGACUGCUUUUCUGAGGAGUGCCAAUAUGGCCACCCGGUGGCUUCAAAGCCUCUCAUUGGUCAAAACAUACAGUAGCAUCAGCAAUCCAGGGUUUAUAUAGGUCAUUGGGAGGGAUACAGUGCUUCCAGGUGGAUAAAGAAAAAAGGGGAAAUCUGGGAUUGCUACAUUCAUUUUGUUGCUGUUUGAAUCCCAGAUUUCCCUUUUAAUGGGAUGUGCGUGAGGUAUGGGAAUGUUUUAGAUAGGCUCAUAGAUAUGCAUGUACAGUAGAUACUGUACAUCAGGGCUAUUCAACUAGCGCUCCACGUGCCAGAUCCGGCCCGUUUAUGAAUUUAUACCCUGAACAUUAAUAAAAGAUCUGUAAAAAAAAGUAAUUAUUUCCACCAAAAUCCGACGUUCAGUGCCAAAAUGACAAGCACUAUGGUGGUUGUCUAUAGUCUGGUUUAUAGUGCCUAUGUAGAAUGUCAAUGAUUUUUGUUCGUCAUAUGCAUUUGGCGGUAGCGUUUGAACGGUUUAAGCGCCAAAAUAUGAUGAAAGCUACAACUCUAAGGAACACAUACGUGCCUUCUGUUGCCCUCUCUAAUGCUCACAAAGACUCAUUAGUGUGCAUAUCAUCAGUUCCAUAGGAUGCUAACAGGUGGAUAAAGACAGUUAAUGUGGUUGUAUAGGAUGGUAACAGGUGGAUAAAGACAGUUCAUGUGGUUCUAUAGGAUGGUAACAGGUGGAUAAAGACAGUUAAUGUGGUUCUAUAGGAUGGUAACAGGUGGAUAAAGACAGUUAAUGUGGUUGUAUAGGAUGGUAACAGGUGGAUAAAGACAGUUAAUGUGGUUGUAUAGGAUGGUAUCAGGUGGAUAAAGACAGUUAAUGUGGUUGUAUAGGAUGGUAACAGGUGGAUAAAGACAGUUAAUGUGGUUCUAUAGGAUGGUAACAGGUAGAUAAAGACAGUUAAUGUGGUUCUAUAGGAUGGUAACAGGUGGAUAGAGACAGUUAAUGUGGUUCUAUAGGAUGGUAACAGGUGGAUAAAGACAGUUAAUGUGGUUCUAUAGGAUGGUAACAGGUGGAUAAAGACAGUUAAUGUGGUUCUAUAGGAUGGUAACAGGUGGAUAAAGACAGUUAAUGUGGUUCUAUAGGAUGGUAACAGGUAGAUAAAGACAGUUAAUGUGGUUCUAUAGGAUGGUAACAGGUGGAUAGAGACAGUUAAUGUGGUUGUAUGGGAUGGUAUCAGGUGGAUAAAGACCGUUAAUGUGAUUGUAUAGGAUGGUAACAGGUGGAUAAAGACAGUUCAUGUGGUUCUAUAGGAUGGUAACAGGUGGAUAAAGACAGUUAAUGUGGUUGUAUAGGAUGGUAACAGGUGGAUAAUGACAGUUAAUGUGGUUCUAUAGGAUGGUAACAGGUGGAUAAAGACAGUUAAUGUGGUUGUAUGGGAUGGUAUCAGGUGGAUAAAGACCGUUAAUGUGGUUGUAUAGGAUGGUAUCAGGUGGAUAAAGACAGUUAAUGUGGUUGUAUAGGAUGGUAUCAGGUGGAUAAAGACCGUUAAUGUGGUUGUAUAGGAUGGUAUCAGGUGGAUAAAGACAGUUAAUGUGGUUGUAUAGGAUGGUAUCAGGUGGAUAAAGACCGUUAAUGUGGUUGUAUAGGAUGGUAUCAGGUGGAUAAAGACAGUUAAUGUGGUUGUAUAGGAUGGUAUCAGGUGGAUAGAGACAGUUAAUGUGGUUGUAUAGGAUGGUAAGAGGUGGAUAAAGACAGUUAAUGUGGUUCUAUAGGAUGGUAACAGGUGGAUAAAGACAGUUAAUGUGGUUGUAUAGGAUGGUAACAGGUGGAUAAAGACAGUUAAUGUGGUUGUAUAGGAUGGUAACAGGUGGAUAAAGACAGUUAAUGUGGUUCUAUAGGAUGGUAACAGGUGGAUAAAGACAGUUAAUGUGGUUAUAUAGGAUGGUAUCAGGUGGAUAAAGACAGUUAAUGUGGUUGUAUAGGAUGGUAAGAGGUGGAUAAAGACAGUUAAUGUGGUUCUAUAGGAUGGUAAGAGGUGGAUAAAGACAGUUAAUGUGGUUGUAUAGGAUGGUAACAGGUGGAUAAAGACAGUUAAUGUGGUUGUAUAGGAUGGUAACAGGUGGAUAAAGACAGUUAAUGUGGUUGUAUGGGAUGGUAUCAGGUGGAUAAAGAAGGGUUAAUGUGGUUCUAUAGGAUGGUAACAGGUGGAUAAAGACAGUUAAUGUGGUUAUAUAGGAUGGUAUCAGGUGGAUAAAGACAGUUCAUGUGGUUGUAUAGGAUGGUAUGAGGUGGAUAAAGACAGUUAAUGUGGUUCUAUAGGAUGGUAAGAGGUGGAUAAAGACAGUUAAUGUGGUUGUAUAGGAUGGUAACAGGUGGAUAAAGACAGUUCAUGUGGUUGUAUAUGAUGGUAACAGGUGGAUAAAGACAGUCAAUGUGGUUGUAUAGGAUGGUAACAGGUGGAUAAAGACAGUUAAUGUGGUUGUAUAGGAUGGUAUCAGGUGGAUAAAGACAGUUAAUGUGGUUGUAUAGGAUGGUAAGAGGUGGAUAAAGACAGUUAAUGUGGUUGUAUAGGAUGGUAUCAGGUGGAUAGAGACAGUUAAUGUGGUUCUAUAGGAUGGUAACAGGUGGAUAAAGACAGUUAAUGUGGUUGUAUAGGAUGGUAUCAGGUGGAUAGAGACAGUUAAUGUGGUUCUAUAGGAUGGUAAGAGGUGGAUAAAGACAGUUAAUGUGGUUGUAUAGGAUGGUAACAGGUGGAUAAAGACAGUUAAUGUGGUUCUAUAGGAUGGUAACAGGUGGAUAGAGACAGACAGUUAUUGUUCAUUGCUUUGUGUUACAGUCAUAAACAGUGUUUUGUCUUGUAGGCUACUUUGUUAGUUUAAAAAACAAAGAUGAAAUAGCCGUUGAGUUUACCACUCAUAUCAUAUAGUUGCUGUUUUAAAUGCUGAUUGGCUGAAAGACGUGAUAUAUCAGAUCGUAUACAUCUCAUGUCAUAUAGUUUCUGUUGAAUGCUCAGGGAAUUGUCUAUAUGUUUUUUUUUACCACUUCUAAACACUUUUCUACCUCUCAUGACAGUACUACAUCUAUUUCUGAUAUCAAUAUGAUACUAUGAUUGUGCUCACAGUAAAUACUGAUCUGAUACUGAUAAAUCUCUCAGUAGAAAUGAAGAAUGUAUUGUUAUGUUAUGUCUAACAUGACCAUCUUGAAUGUAAUGUCUCUGAAAAAUCAUGUGGAAAGUGGCUGAUGUUCCAGACUAUUUUUUGUUCAUUUAAGAUUACAUUUAUUUAACCAGACAAUUCAAUAACAUAUUUAAGUAACAAUGUUGAUAAUAUGUGUUUUAAACAAAUGUAGUGCUGGUUUAUUGCACAGACCAAUUUUGCAGUUAAAAUUAUUUUUUGGUUUUGUAAAUUAUCAUUAUUCUAAGUUAGAAUUACAAAAAUGUAUAAGGCAGCUGAAUUGUAUUACAAUCUUAUUGACAGCAAUUUAUAAAGAUAUGUAUUGUCUAACAUAGACUGUUGUUUGACUGUUUGUGAUAUUUCAGCUAAUUAGCCAGGGUAGGCCGUCAUUGUAAAGAAGAAUUUGUUCUUAACUGACUUGCCUAGUUAAAUAAAGAUUAAAAUAAAAAAAUGAAACUGA
Molecule: non-coding RNA, 4561 nt
Organism: Salmo salar (Atlantic salmon)
Lineage: Eukaryota; Metazoa; Chordata; Actinopteri; Salmoniformes; Salmonidae
Source: RefSeq, a predicted model, not a curated record